AACGCGAAGAACCUUACCUACUCUUGACAUCCAGAGAACUUUCCAGAGAUGGAUUGGUGCCUUCGGGAACUCUGAGACAGGUGCUGCAUGGCUGUCGUCAGCUCGUGUUGUGAAAUGUUGGGUUAAGUCCCGCAACGAGCGCAACCCUUAUCCUUUGUUGCCAGCGGUUCGGCCGGGAACUCAAAGGAGACUGCCAGUGAUAAACUGGAGGAAGGUGGGGAUGACGUCAAGUCAUCAUGGCCCUUACGAGUAGGGCUAUACACGUGCUACAAUGGCGUAUACAAAGAGAAGCGACCUCGCGAGAGCAAGCGGACCUCAUAAAGUACGUCGUAGUCCGGAUUGGAGUCUGCAACUCGACUCCAUGAAGUCGGAAUCGCUAGUAAUCGUAGAUCAGAAUGCUACGGUGAAUACGUUCCCGGGCCUUGUACACACCG
This 434-nucleotide ribosomal RNA is filed under the name uncultured Serratia sp. RNAcentral describes it as "bacterial SSU rRNA". It matches the Rfam family "Bacterial small subunit ribosomal RNA", at positions 958 to 1392 of the family's 1533-position model. The record is from RNAcentral. Lineage: Bacteria; Pseudomonadati; Pseudomonadota; Gammaproteobacteria; Enterobacterales; Yersiniaceae.